RNAcentral lists this ribosomal RNA (570 nucleotides) under uncultured fungus. RNAcentral's name for it is "eukaryotic LSU rRNA". The stretch from base 170 to 319 matches the Rfam family "5.8S ribosomal RNA". The record is from RNAcentral. Lineage: Eukaryota; Fungi.
CUUGGUCAUUUAGAGGAAGUAAAAGUUGUAACAAGGUUUCCGUAGGUGAACCUGCGGAAGGAUCAUUAACAAAUCGCUCAGUCCCUCGGGACUGGACAUAAGUGCACCCCCUUGGGGGUGUUUACAUUUACGCUUGCUAGUAUGACUGUUUGAUACCAACCAAAGAGACAACUUUUAACAAUGGAUCUCUUGGCUCUUGCAACGAUGAAGAACGCAGUGAAAUGCGAAAACUAAUGCGAUUUGCAUGAAUCUGUGAGUCAUCAAGUCUUUGAACGCACCUUGCACUCUAUUAUUAUAGAGUAUGUCUGUUUGAGAAUCGUAAACACCUCUACUACCCCUUGGGGCAGUGACUUGGCCUCCUCACCGCGAGCUGGCUUGAAUGCGUAGGCUAGGCCCAUUGGCGGCGCUAGACACUGUGUGCCAGAGACCUUUGGUCUACUCACAGUGCGUCUAGCGGCUCAACCGCCCUUGGGAACCGGCCUCUGCCCCUCCUCAGAGGGUCACUACUACUCUUGAUCUCAAAUCAGGCAAGGCUACCCGCUGAACUUAAGCAUAUCAAUAAGCGGAGGA